The sequence is a ribosomal RNA, 510 nucleotides long. It matches the Rfam family "Bacterial small subunit ribosomal RNA", at positions 1031 to 1533 of the family's 1533-position model.
GUGACAGGUGGUGCAUGGUUGUCGUCAGCUCGUGUCGUGAGAUGUUGGGUUAAGUCCCGCAACGAGCGCAACCCUUAUUGUUAGUUGCCAUCAUUUAGUUGGGCACUCUAGCGAGACUGCCGGUGACAAACCGGAGGAAGGUGGGGAUGACGUCAAAUCAUCAUGCCCCUUAUGACCUGGGCUACACACGUGCUACAAUGGGAAGUACAACGAGUCGCUAGACCGCGAGGUCAUGCAAAUCUCUUAAAGCUUCUCUCAGUUCGGAUUGCAGGCUGCAACUCGCCUGCAUGAAGCCGGAAUCGCUAGUAAUCGCGGAUCAGCACGCCGCGGUGAAUACGUUCCCGGGCCUUGUACACACCGCCCGUCACACCACGAGAGUUUGUAACACCCGAAGUCGGUGAGGUAACCUUUUUGGAGCCAGCCGCCUAAGGUGGGAUAGAUGAUUGGGGUGAAGUCGUAACAAGGUAGCCGUAUCGGAAGGUGCGGCUGGAUCACCUCCUUUCUAAGGAA